CCUACGGGAGGCUGCAGUGAGGAAUAUUGGUCAAUGGGCGGGAGCCUGAACCAGCCAAGUAGCGUGAGGGAAGACGGUCCUAUGGAUUGUAAACCUCUUUAGGCGGGGAGCAAUGCCGGGCACGUGUGCCCGGAGGGAGAGUACCCGCAGAAAAAGCAUCGGCUAACUCCGUGCAAGCGGCCGCGGUAAAACGGGGGAUGCGAGCGUUAUCCGGAUUGAUUGGGUUUAAGGGGGGCGUAGGCGGAUUUUUAAGUCAGCGGUAAAAUGUCCGGGCUCAACCCGGGCCGGCCGUUGAAACUGGGGAUCUUGAGUGGGCUAGAAGUAUGCGGAAUGCGUGGUGUAGCGGUGAAAUGCAUAGAUAUCACGCAGAACUCCGAUUGCGAAGGCAGCAUACCGGCGCCCGACUGACGCUGAGGCACGAAAGCGUGGGGAUCGAACAGGAUUAGAUACCCCUGUAGUC
This 460-nucleotide ribosomal RNA is filed under the name uncultured bacterium. RNAcentral's name for it is "partial 16S ribosomal RNA". It matches the Rfam family "Bacterial small subunit ribosomal RNA", at positions 338 to 795 of the family's 1533-position model. The record is from RNAcentral.